CAGCAGCCGCGGUAAUACGGAGGGGGCUAGCGUUGUUCGGAAUUACUGGGCGUAAAGCGCACGUAGGCGGCUUGGUAAGUUAGAGGUGAAAGCCUGGAGCUCAACUCCAGAAUUGCCUUUAAGACUGCCGAGCUAGCAGGUGAGAGAGGUAAGUGGAAUUCCGAGUGUAGAGGUGAAAUUCGUAGAUAUUCGGAAGAACACCAGUGGCGAAGGCGGCUUACUGGCUCAUACUGGACGCUGAGGUGCGAAAGCGUGGGGAGCAAACAGGAUUAGAUACCCCGGUAGUCCCUGUCUCUUAUAC
Molecule: ribosomal RNA, 301 nt
Filed under: uncultured bacterium
Lineage: Bacteria
Description: partial 16S ribosomal RNA
Rfam family: Bacterial small subunit ribosomal RNA
Source: RNAcentral